Long non-coding RNA from Phyllostomus discolor (pale spear-nosed bat), 181 nucleotides. RefSeq lists it as uncharacterized. The record is from RefSeq and is a predicted model, not a curated record. The transcript is spliced from 3 exons. Lineage: Eukaryota; Metazoa; Chordata; Mammalia; Chiroptera; Phyllostomidae.
GCCCUGGAAUCAUUCCCAACAGAAGCAAGAAUGUGUAUGAAAUGACCUCUCAGGGCCAUUUCCACAAGACUGUCUCCCUAUACCAGGGUUCCUCAACCUCAGCCCUAUUGACAUGUUGAACUGGACAGCUCUUCGUCAUGCAGAGGGCUGCCCUGUGCAUUGUAUAAUGUUUGGCAGCAUC